Molecule: long non-coding RNA, 851 nt
Organism: Symphalangus syndactylus (siamang)
Lineage: Eukaryota; Metazoa; Chordata; Mammalia; Primates; Hylobatidae
Source: RefSeq, a predicted model, not a curated record
CCCACGUGCCUACAAUCAGCCCCAGUCUCCCUGGGAAACAGACGGGCGCACCUGAGCUGGGUUCUGAGCUCCAGCGUUUGGGGUUAGAAGUUGCGGACUGGUAGCUGAGGCGGCACGGGAGUGUAGGCGCCCGGGGUCGUUGCCGGGGGGCACAACGUGAGAACAAGCAAGGGAGCCCUGCUGAAUUGCAGUUUUUGGAAGCCCUGAAUCCUGGAGCAUGAAGGCAGUGAGGGGCUGUGGUGUGAUCCAGGAGGCUGAGAAUUAUGCAGUGGGUGCUGUCACCUUGAAGGCAUCAGCGCGAUCAGGCAGAUCAUCAUGCAGGAUGCUGUGCCAAAUCAUCUCAGCAAGAGGUCUCUACAUCACGAUGUUGGCAAAGAUAUUGGAGUGGGUGAAGAGACCCUCUUAUUACCGUUUCUGGGCCCAAUUUUCUCACAAUGAAGCUGCACAAGAUGAUCUCUAAGGUACUGCAUUUCCUGGACACGAUCUUAAUUUUCUUAAUACCUCCAUCAACAUUUCAAGUAGCGUCUCUAAUGCCCCAGAGAUUUUUAUGCCCCUAAGGUAGUUUUCUUUCUUUUGUGAAGCAGAAGAAGGGAAAUUGUUAAAGGGAAUUAUUUUAACUAAAUCUAUUUCCAUGAAACUAUCUUUGUCUUUAUAUCCCAUGGAAAGUGUUAGGUAGCCUCAGGAUUAUAUCUCAGUUGGAAAAUUGUAGACGUAAACCUUCUUGUUAUCUACGUACUUAUAUAUUUUUCUGUUGUUAUUUACUUAUGAAUAGCAUUUUGAUUACAGCAGAAAUAAAAUACAUUAAAUGACUAAGCUCAGAAAUAAGAAAAAAAGGUCAAUGAUGAUCAUUU